RNAcentral lists this ribosomal RNA (182 nucleotides) under Salmonella enterica. Its description in RNAcentral is "partial 23S ribosomal RNA". It matches the Rfam family "Bacterial large subunit ribosomal RNA", at positions 1 to 183 of the family's 2925-position model. The record is from RNAcentral. Lineage: Bacteria; Pseudomonadati; Pseudomonadota; Gammaproteobacteria; Enterobacterales; Enterobacteriaceae. RNAcentral also lists the same sequence under 3 other names.
GGUUAAGCGACUAAGCGUACACGGUGGAUGCCCUGGCAGUCAGAGGCGAUGAAGGGCGUGCUAAUCUGCGAUAAGCGCCGGUAAGGUGAUAUGAACCGUUAUAACCGGCGAUACCCGAAUGGGGAAACCCAGUGUGACUCGUCACACUAUCAUUAACUGAAUCCAUAGGUUAAUGAGGCGAA